This 218-nucleotide long non-coding RNA is filed under the name Vigna radiata. Its description in RNAcentral is "long non-coding RNA (VRAD_LNC014866)". Lineage: Eukaryota; Viridiplantae; Streptophyta; Magnoliopsida; Fabales; Fabaceae. The record is from RNAcentral.
GCCGGACACACACUCAUUUAUGUCUUAAAUGAAAAUUCUUCUCCCAAAAGCUAUUACCGUAUACAUACUCCAAAAAAUAAAAGGUCACAUUGCAUUGAACCAAUUAAAAGAUUUAAAUUAAGCAAAUGCAUCUAACAUUGAAACACCAUACAGAAAAACACACUCUAGCAAAAGUAAAAACGUAGCAUCGGAAAUUAAAUGAAUUAAUGUGCUUCUAC